AUCUCUGCAACAAAAGCCCUACGAGAUUGGACUAAUGUGUUGCCAUCUUUGGAUGCCCCAAAUAAUGGGCAUAUUGUUCUAGUGGUUAAGUGAAGUGUUAUUAAGCUGAAGGUCUUGUGUUUGAAUUGCUGCUCUGGCAAGGGUGUUAUAUUUUUUGCUCGGUGGACUGAUAGAGUUUCAACCAAACAGAAAGUCUGAGUAGUGAUAGUUAGGGCCUAUUCUUCUGUGCUUAAAAAUAACACUUUUGGAAGAAAA
This is a long non-coding RNA of Gossypium arboreum, 255 nucleotides long. RefSeq lists it as uncharacterized. The record is from RefSeq and is a predicted model, not a curated record. Lineage: Eukaryota; Viridiplantae; Streptophyta; Magnoliopsida; Malvales; Malvaceae. The transcript is spliced from 2 exons.